CAGUAGCCGCGGUAAUACCGAGGGUGCGAGCGUUAAUCGGAUUUACUGGGCGUAAAGCGUGCGUAGGCGGCUUUUUAAGUCGGAUGUGAAAUCCCUGAGCUUAACUUAGGAAUUGCAUUCGAUACUGGGAAGCUAGAGUAUGGGAGAGGAUGGUAGAAUUCCAGGUGUAGCGGUGAAAUGCGUAGAGAUCUGGAGGAAUACCGAUGGCGAAGGCAGCCAUCUGGCCUAAUACUGACGCUGAGGUACGAAAGCAUGGGGAGCAAACAGGAUUAGAUACCCCAGUAGUCCCUGUCUCUUAUAU
RNAcentral lists this ribosomal RNA (301 nucleotides) under uncultured bacterium. RNAcentral's name for it is "partial 16S ribosomal RNA". It matches the Rfam family "Bacterial small subunit ribosomal RNA", at positions 509 to 809 of the family's 1533-position model. The record is from RNAcentral.